UACGUAGGGGGCUAGCGUUGUCCGGAAUCAUUGGGCGUAAAGCACGUGUAGGCGGUUCGGUAAGUCCGCUGUGAAAGUCGGGGGCUCAACCCUCGGAUGCCGGUGGAUACUGUCGAGCUUGAGUACGGAAGAGGCGAGUGGAAUUCCUGGUGUAGCGGUGAAAUGCGCAGAUAUCAGGAGGAACACCAAUUGCGAAGGCAGCUCACUGGGACGUUACUGACGCUGAGACGCGAAAGCGUGGGGAGCAAACAGG
Molecule: ribosomal RNA, 253 nt
Filed under: uncultured bacterium
Lineage: Bacteria
Description: partial 16S ribosomal RNA
Rfam family: Bacterial small subunit ribosomal RNA
Source: RNAcentral